This 751-nucleotide long non-coding RNA is filed under the name Anser brachyrhynchus (Pink-footed goose). Its description in RNAcentral is "lncRNA (ENSABRG00000012200.1)". Lineage: Eukaryota; Metazoa; Chordata; Aves; Anseriformes; Anatidae. The record is from RNAcentral.
UUUUGCUGCAGGCACUACUGGUGUGCCAGAGUGGGGGGCUGUCGUGGUGACAAAGUGUCAGUGGGCAGCUGGCAUCAGAUGGACAUUGCUGGGUGGUGAUAAAAUAUCUGUGUCUGAAUGUGUUCCCCCAGAGCGGCCCCUUCCCUUGGGGCCCAGAGUGAAAGAUGGGAAAUGUGUGAAAUUCUGUGAGGGCCUGAAGAAAGAGAUGUUUGGUACGAUGUCUCCUGCUGGUCUGAACUCUACCUCCACUGAAGGAUCUGUUACCUGCAUGUUUCUCUUCUGUGUCCAUGUCAGCUAUACCUGUGCAGAUACAAAUAAGGAGCAUUAAGGCGAAUGAAACUGGUCAGAUGAGCAGCACUGAGGGAUGCAAGGGCAGGUGAAGGACCAGGCUGGAGUGCACAGGGGACAGGAUGAAGUUACAGAUACUUACCUGAAGCUGCACGGGAAGGAGUCAAUGAGAGCUGUGGCAGAAACAGGAAGGCUGACAUGCGAAGUCAAAUGCAGAGUUGCUAUGCAUCUGAAAUUCGUUUGCAUACACUUGGAAGACAACAGAUUAUGCUGGAAAAUACUUCCUGCACUUCCACUUCAGUGCUGUUGCUCUGGGAUGGCAGGAUGGUGUUUCAAACAAAAGGUGCUGGCCAAAGUCCUGUGCUGAAAAGAGUGCAAUAUCCUUGAUGAAAUGGUAAGCCUGUUGGUAUAUGUGAUAUGUGGCAAGGGAAUCACAGAUAAUAUGUGAAUGUGUAUUACUACU